UUAAUUGAAGCCAAAAUAGAGGCAUAUUACCGUUAAUAAUAUCAAUGAAUAAAAGUUCCAAUUAAA
RNAcentral lists this transfer RNA (66 nucleotides) under Atractomorpha sinensis. RNAcentral describes it as "tRNA-Asn". Lineage: Eukaryota; Metazoa; Arthropoda; Insecta; Orthoptera; Pyrgomorphidae. The record is from RNAcentral.